This 429-nucleotide ribosomal RNA is filed under the name Gemmatimonadota bacterium. RNAcentral describes it as "Gemmatimonadetes bacterium partial 16S ribosomal RNA". It matches the Rfam family "Bacterial small subunit ribosomal RNA", at positions 355 to 776 of the family's 1533-position model. Lineage: Bacteria; Pseudomonadati; Gemmatimonadota. The record is from RNAcentral.
UAGGGAAUCUUCGGCAAUGGACGAAAGUCUGACCGAGCAACGCCGCGUGAGUGAAGAAGGUUUUCGGAUCGUAAAACUCUGUUGUUAGAGAAGAACAAGGACGUUAGUAACUGAACGUCCCCUGACGGUAUCUAACCAGAAAGCCACGGCUAACUACGUGCCAGCAGCCGCGGUAAUACGUAGGUGGCAAGCGUUGUCCGGAUUUAUUGGGCGUAAAGCGAGCGCAGGCGGUUUCUUAAGUCUGACGUGAAAGCCCCCGGCUCAACCGGGGAGGGUCAUUGGAAACUGGGAGACUUGAGUGCAGAAGAGGAGAGUGGAAUUCCAUGUGUAGCGGUGAAAUGCAUAGAUAUAUGGAGGAACACCAGUGGCGAAGGCGGCUCUCUGGUCUGUAACUGACGCUGAGGCUCGAAAGCGUGGGGAGCAAACAGG